AGAGUUUGAUCAUGGCUCAGAGCGAACGCUGGCGGCAGGCCUAAUACAUGCAAGUCGAACGGAUCCUUCGGGAUCAGUGGCGGACGGGUGAGUAACGCGUGGGAACGUGCCCUUUGGUACGGAACAACUGAGGGAAACUUCAGCUAAUACCGUAUGUGCCCUUCGGGGGAAAGGUUUAUCGCCAUUGGAGCGGCCCGCGUUGGAUUAGGUAGUUGGUGAGGUAAAGGCUCACCAAGCCUACGAUCCAUAGCUGGUCUGAGAGGAUGACCAGCCACACUGGGACUGAGACACGGCCCAGACUCCUACGGGAGGCAGCAGUAGGGAAUCUUGCGCAAUGGGCGAAAGCCUGACGCAGCCAUGCCGCGUGAAUGAUGAAGGUCUUAGGAUUGUAAAAUUCUUUCACCGGGGACGAUAAUGACGGUACCCGGAGAAGAAGCCCCGGCUAACUUCGUGCCAGCAGCCGCGGUAAUACGAAGGGGGCUAGCGUUGCUCGGAAUUACUGGGCGUAAGGGGCGCGUAGGCGGAUAGUUUAGUGAGAGGUGAAAGCCCAGGGCUCAACCUUGGAACUGCCUUUCAUACUGGCUAUCUUGAGUACGGGAGAGGUGAGUGGAACUCCGAGUGUAGAGGUGAAAUUCGUAGAUAUUCGGAAGAACACCAGUGGCGAAGGCGACUCACUGGCCCGUUACUGACGCUGAGGCGCGAAAGCGUGGGGAGCAAACAGGAUUAGAUACCCCUGGUAGUCCACGCCGUAAACGAUGAGUGCUAGUUGUCGGCAUGCAUGCAUGUCGGUGACGCAGCUAACGCAUUAAGCACUCCGCCUGGGGAGUACGGUCGCAAGAUUAAAACUCAAAUGAAUUGACGG
RNAcentral lists this ribosomal RNA (862 nucleotides) under uncultured bacterium. RNAcentral describes it as "bacterial SSU rRNA". It matches the Rfam family "Bacterial small subunit ribosomal RNA", at positions 8 to 916 of the family's 1533-position model. The record is from RNAcentral.